GCACUGUGAGCUCUAGAGACCACUGUUACUAGCAGUAAUAACCCAUUCCUUUCACUCACAGCAAGGUAAGAAUAAGAAACUAAAGAGGAGCAGAGAAUGAGCUAAGCAGUGCCUGAAGCAUGAAUAUGGGGAGUAGCAACAAUAUGGGAUGGGGUUCUGCCAGGAGGAUGCCACUCUGUGAGGCUGCAGAUGUUCACAAACUGCUCCAGCACGGUCCCUCCCUCAGGGUGCAGUCCUUCAGGAGCACACUGCUUUGGUGUAGAUCCUCCAUGGGGCCACCAGUCCUGCCAGCAAACCUGCUCAGCAAACAGCUCCUUCCAGAACUCUGCUGAAGCUCAGG
This is a long non-coding RNA of Zonotrichia leucophrys gambelii, 340 nucleotides long. RefSeq lists it as uncharacterized. Lineage: Eukaryota; Metazoa; Chordata; Aves; Passeriformes; Passerellidae. The transcript is spliced from 3 exons. The record is from RefSeq and is a predicted model, not a curated record.